RNAcentral lists this ribosomal RNA (353 nucleotides) under uncultured bacterium. Its description in RNAcentral is "bacterial SSU rRNA". It matches the Rfam family "Bacterial small subunit ribosomal RNA", at positions 917 to 1264 of the family's 1533-position model. The record is from RNAcentral.
GGGCUCACACAAGCGGUGGAGGAUGUGGCUUAAUUCGAGGCUACGCGAAGAACCUUAUCCUAGUCUUGACAUGUAUGGAUUAACCCUGUGAAAGCAGGGCCACGCCUUCGGGUGGAACAUACACAGGUGCUGCAUGGCUGUCGUCAGCUCGUGUCGUGAGAUGUCGCGUUAAGUCGCUUAACGAGCGAAACCCUUGUCUCUAGUUGCCAGCGCGUAAUGCGGGGACUCUAGAGAGACCGCCGGCGUUAAGCCGGAGGAAGGUGGGGAUGACGUCAAGUCCUCAUGGCCCUUAUGACUAGGGCUGCACACGUCCCUACAAUGGAACGCACAAAGGGAUGCGAAACCGCGAGGUC